CGGGGCGUGGCGCAGCCUGGUAGCGCACUGGCAUGGGGGGCCAGGGGUCAGCAGUUCGAAUCUGCUCGCCCCGA
RNAcentral lists this transfer RNA (74 nucleotides) under Candidatus Methylomirabilota bacterium. RNAcentral's name for it is "tRNA-Pro". It matches the Rfam family "tRNA". Rfam says of the family: Transfer RNA (tRNA) molecules are approximately 80 nucleotides in length. Their secondary structure includes four short double-helical elements and three loops (D, anti-codon, and T loops). The record is from RNAcentral. Lineage: Bacteria; Methylomirabilota (SeqCode).